GAUGAAGCUAAUUGUGCACAUCUCGUAUAAUAUUCACACAUAUUCUUAAUGACAUUUCACUGAUGCUUCUAUCAGGUCCCAUCAAUUCUUAGAAUAUCUAAGAAUCUUUGUUAGAUAUUAGGUCCCAUCAAUUCUUAGAAUAUCUAAACAUCUUUGUUGAUGUUUAGAUUUUUUUAUUUGAUGUGUAAGAAAAUGUUCUUUGUGUGAUUAAAUGACACAUUUUUUUGCU
RNAcentral lists this long non-coding RNA (229 nucleotides) under Homo sapiens (human). RNAcentral describes it as "non-protein coding lnc-RLN1-1:1". The record is from RNAcentral. Lineage: Eukaryota; Metazoa; Chordata; Mammalia; Primates; Hominidae.